AGCCAUGCUAGGAUUUGAACUCAUAUACUUGGAUUCCAAAUCUAUUCUCUGAACUUUUGAGCUACCAUUUAUUCCAUUUCUUCAUUUGUACAAUGGAAAUAACCAUUCUUCACAAGUAGGUAAAUCUUUUUCUAAGGCUUACAGUUCUACGUAGAUGUAAGCUGAUGUUAUAAAAGAUACCUUCAACCCAUGGGCUGAUAAUUUUGUGUAAUCUUACUAGUGUAGCCCUGACCUAGAACUUACUUACAUUACUUACCUCCCCUGGUUCCCUUUUGCCUCAAGCGUCAAUGUAAAAUUCUCUCUUGGGCAUUUAGAGUCCUCUACCACCUGGCCCCUUUCUUUCUCUCUGUCUCAUCUCCUAAUCCAUGACUCCCUUCAUGUUCUUAGCCACCUUUCCUUUCCUACCUGGCUUUUUCUCAGUCGUCUCUCAGAACUGGGUUUGCUCUUGUUCUUUGUCUUCUGCCUCCAGAUUUCCCGGCCCUUCUCCAGGAUUUAUCUGUCAGUCCCUUCUUUCCCUUACCUUGCAUUUUACACUAUCUGCACUCUUGUUUGUUGGACAUUGGAUUGUGCACCUUAAGGAGGGGAAGGCAUGGCUUUUGGUAAGCAUUAACUCAAUUGAUUGUUGAUUGACUGAAUGGAAGUGAGACCUAUCCUCAACUCUGAUUCCCGACUUUAUAGAUUCUACACUUUUCCUCUGUCCCGGCAAUAAUACUUCCUUGUUUGGCUCAGAUACUAAUCCUGCCUCAGAUAUCUACUAACUGUGUGACUUUGGGCACACAUCUGAUCCUUCUUCUCAUUAAAAUGGGAAUAAUAAUAGUACCUACCUCACGAAGUAGCUAUUUUUGAAGAGUUUUGUAAACCUAAUUAAAGUGCUGUUGCCAUUAACAAGUUACUCAGACCUGCCUCUCUGCUGCAGUCCAGUGCUCCAGCAUGUUCUCUGGCGAAAUAGAACAAAUUUUAUCCCACUCCCAUACUGCUGCUGCCUGCUGCCCUGAUGUGGUUUUUUUCCUCAUCUAUAAAACUUCCUAGUUCUUUUUAACUUUUCCUGAUAGGAGAGUUUGAAGUCCUCCUUCCGCAAUCUGGUGUGGUGAAACUCUCCAGUCUGGUGAGUUCAGUCUCCCAGAAGGGCAAUCCUCAGGGGGUUUUGGCUAGUCAUGCUGGUGAUACUUAAACUAGAGUAGAAGUUGAAGAAGAGAUGGACCCAUUUGAAGGGUUGCCCCAUCCAAGGAGAAGUCUGACCUGAGAUCCGGCCACUUCAGAGUGGUUUCUUUUCUGAACAACCUCCAGGGAAUUCUUGUUUGCAUUAGGAAUGGAAAUAGAUGGCCUCAGGGGGUAAUGAUUAAUAAUAUGUGAUUUUCUGAGCUAACAUGCUGCAUGAGAUUGUCUGCAUUGGGAUCUUUCCCAGUCCUUUUUUGAUUUCUGAAAUCUGCUUUCCCCAAUCCUAGAGGGCAUUCCGUCUCUGCCUGGCUUUUCCCUUUCUUGCCUACUGCAAUCUCUAAGAUUGCUUCUCUCAAAUCCAGGAUGCACCUCAGACUGCCUGCCUCUUGCUUUCUUAUCUGUUGUAGCCUCCAAGGAUAUAUAAUUGUUUUCCCAAAAAUUUCCACCAUAUCUUAUACAAGUCACAAGCAAGUCUGGAAUUGCAGAUACCUCUGGUCCUUGCUUGAAGAAAAAUGAAGCAAUCAAAGAGAAAUGAUCAAGGACUCCUCAGCUACUCUUUUGAGCAUAGAAAAACCUCCAAUGGAUAAUUCAUAGUUCAAGUUCCCCAAUACUAAUGCUUCAUGAUCUCAGUCUGCUCCUAGAAUUUACUCCCAAUUCUAAUCCUUCUGACUGGACAUUCUACAAUUACCCUGUCACUAGAGAGCUACUUCUCUUUCCCUCUCUGUGCGUCCUCCAAAAUCUGAUGCUUGGAUUUCCACACUGGAGUUUAAAUCUCGUCGACAUAACGAUCCUAUUCAUUUUCUCAUUUGCGCCUUUUGAACAAGGUUUACUGUCCAUGGCAAUUUUCCAGAUGUGGGUCUGAUGCUACCAAGUUGCAGUUAUAUCUAUGAGGUUUUGGUGACAUCUGCCCAGGACUUCAUAUUCAUGAUGGCCAAGUCCCUCUUGGUAUCAGUUCAUACCACUCAGAAGAGAAAUUUGAAUUAUAUCCAAUUUAUCACAGUAUUAUGUAUGUAUGUUUCUAAUUAAACAGAUUGCAUUACAAUGUAUUCAAAAGAAAAAAAUAUAUAUAUACUUUUUCUAAAUUUUGAAAACAAUUUUUGAACAUAGGGAUAUAUUGUAAUUUCAGGGUAGAAAUAACAGCUGGUGGUUUUCUGAAACAUUGGUUUCAAACUCAAAUAGAAAGAAAAAGGGCCACUAAUUGGUUUAUAUAAGAAUCCCUUUGGGCAAAUGUUGACUUAGUUUUAAAAUGUAAUGUUAUUUCUGUUCUAAUGUAUUCUGUGUAUUUUUAUUUAUCUUCAUUUAUUUUUAUUUGUUUUGUUAAAUAUUUUCCAAUUAUGUUUUAAUCUGAACUCUGGCCUGUUUGAUACUACCAAAUAGUCUGUGAAUUUUUGUUGUUAUUAUUUGUUUUUAUGAAUGUGAAAAAUGGGGAAAUUUUGAUCUUUAAAGAGCCAUACAAUAAAUAUAGUAGUAAAACCAUUGCUGAGAUUAAAA
Long non-coding RNA from Antechinus flavipes (yellow-footed antechinus), 2649 nucleotides. RefSeq lists it as uncharacterized. Lineage: Eukaryota; Metazoa; Chordata; Mammalia; Dasyuromorphia; Dasyuridae. The transcript has 2 exons. The record is from RefSeq and is a predicted model, not a curated record.